This 440-nucleotide ribosomal RNA is filed under the name uncultured bacterium. RNAcentral describes it as "partial 16S ribosomal RNA". It matches the Rfam family "Bacterial small subunit ribosomal RNA", at positions 338 to 795 of the family's 1533-position model. The record is from RNAcentral.
CCUACGGGUGGCAGCAGUGGGGAAUAUUGCACAAUGGGGGAAACCCUGAUGCAGCAACGCCGCGUGAGUGAUGGCGGCCUCCGGGUUGUAAAGCUCUUUCUUCAGGGACGAUAAUGACGGUACCUGAGGCGGAAUCCACGGCUAACUACGUGCCAGCAGCCGCGGUACUACGGAGGUGGCGAGCGUUGUCCGGAUUUAGUGGGCGUAAAGGGGGCGUAGGCGGACUUUUAAGUGAGAUGUGAAAUACUCGGGCUCAACUUGAGUGCUGCAUUUCAAACUGGAAGUCUAGAGUGCAGGAGAGGAGAAUGGAAUUCCUAGUGUAGCGGUGAAAUGCGUAGAGAUUAGGAAGAACACCAGUGGCGAAGGCGACGAUCUGGCCUGCAACUGACGCUCAGUCCCGAAAGCGUGGGGAGCAAAUAGGAUUAGAUACCCCUGUAGUC